CCGUCGUCAGUUCGUACUGUGAAGCAUCCUGUUAAGUCAGGCAACGAGCGAGACCCACGCCCACAGUUGCCAGCGUACUCUCUGGAGUGACGGGUACACUGUCGGGGACCGCCGCUAGCGUAAAGCGGAGGAAGGAAUGGGCAACGGUAGGUCAGUAUGCCCCGAAUAUCCCGGGCUACACGCGAGCUACAAUGGUUGGUACAAUGGGUAUCUACCCCGAAAGGGGACGGGAAUCUCCUAAAACCAAUCUUAGUUCGGAUUGAGGGCUGCAACUCGCCCUCAUGAAGCUGGAAUCCGUAGUAAUCGCGUUUCAACAGAACGCGGUGAAUACGUCCCUGCUCCUU
This 344-nucleotide ribosomal RNA is filed under the name uncultured Methanosaeta sp. Its description in RNAcentral is "bacterial SSU rRNA". It matches the Rfam family "Archaeal small subunit ribosomal RNA", at positions 998 to 1338 of the family's 1478-position model. Lineage: Archaea; Methanobacteriati; Methanobacteriota; Methanomicrobia; Methanotrichales; Methanotrichaceae. The record is from RNAcentral.